This 393-nucleotide long non-coding RNA is filed under the name Gossypium barbadense (sea-island cotton). RNAcentral's name for it is "long non-coding RNA (GBAR_LNC006371)". Lineage: Eukaryota; Viridiplantae; Streptophyta; Magnoliopsida; Malvales; Malvaceae. The record is from RNAcentral.
GGGUGAGUUUGAAAACUCUGUGUGCAACAAGCUCCUUUCAGAGCCCAAACCAAGAUCAGCAUACUGGGCUUAAGCCCAAAUUCAGUCUCAAUAAAUACUGGGCCGAAGCCUUUCGUUUACCUGUUACUGGGCCGAAGCCUUUUCAUAAUUCACAUCAUUGGCUGAAGCCUUUACUGUAUACAGCAUGGGCCAUAGGCCCAUUUCAAUAUCAUAUGUAACAUCAAAGAAUGCAUGCAAGCCCAUUUGGGGAGACUACUCAACCCACCAUCCGCUGUUCUCCACCCGUACCAACCAACACACCAUGUGGGGAAUGAUUCAACCCACCCAACCAACACACCACUGGCAGCAUAGCUGCUUUAUCAUAUAAUUGGAGGCCUAGCCUCUUUAAAUAAC